Molecule: long non-coding RNA, 3884 nt
Filed under: Homo sapiens (human)
Lineage: Eukaryota; Metazoa; Chordata; Mammalia; Primates; Hominidae
Description: HSALNT0306743
Source: RNAcentral
UCCAGCCUGGGCGACAGAGCGAGACUCCAUCUCAAAAAGGGAAAAAAAUGUAUAUUCUGUUAUUAUUGGGUGUAGAGUUAUAUUUAUACAAUUAGGUUAUAUGUGUUAAAGAUGUUUGGAUUUCCUAAAUCUCUACUAAAUAUUUUUUCUUGUUCUGUUAUUAGGAGAAAUGUAAAAUUUUUCUCUAUGAAUUUGGAUUUGUCUAUUUCUCCUAUUAAUUCGAUUACUUUUCCCCUUUUUCAAGUUUAUUAGGAAUACAGAAAUUUAAACUUGUUUGACCUUACUAGAUGAUUGGCCUUUUAUCACUUUAAAAUUUCCUAUUUAUUUCUAAUAAUGCUAUCUUUAAGUCUACCGUUAUUUUUAACCUCCUUGUGUCCUUAUAUUAAAGGUGUGUCGAUUGCAAGCAUAUACUUACACUAUAUAGGAGUAUAUAAUUAUACCAUAUAGAUUAUAUAUAGUAUAUAUAUAUAUAUACAUACACACACAAGGAGUAUAUAAUUAUACUAUAUAGUCUAUCUUUUUAUUACUUAGCCUAGUUAUGUUUAGUAUAAUUAUUAAUCUGUUGGAGUUUAUGUUUACCAUCUUAUUGUUUUCUAUUUGAACCAUCUCUCAGUUUUAUGGAAAGAGGCCUAUGCACACAUAUUCACUUAGUAUCUCUCACUAAUACUUUAGCCACUUCCUCACAGAAGCCCACCCAACCUCAAGUCUAGAUACGAUUCCUUUUUGUAGUCAUUUUUGUAGUAUCGUCUUCUUUUUCCUAAGAGCACGUCGCUCAGUUAUUUUGUGUGAAUAUUUAAUUAAUGUCUGUUUCUUCUUUUAGACUAUAAUUCGAUGAUGGUAGGACUUUUUUUAUUAUAAAUAAAUAUUUGUAGCAUUAAAUUAAUAUGUAAAUUCUGUAACUAAUUCUACCUUUCUUUACAAUCAAAGGUUAAAUACAAACAACUUUCAUAAAUAAUCUACCCAUUUCCUUUAUGUAGAAGCGCAUCAUCUCACUGAGGAACCACUAUUAUAUUGAGUCUAAAUUGUCCUACCAUUGAUCAUGUCAAGCCCUCUCUUCAGGGACUUUGAGAGGCUUUGCAGUUUCCUGCAAUAGUGGGCUCAUUUCAUCACAUUUCCUGAGACAACCCUGUUUCUUGCACAUCCACAGGGAGGGUGAAUAGGACUGACCCAGUGCUCAUUUAUUGCAAAUAUUUUCCAGAUUAUUUGGUGCAAAUUCCUCUUCUACAAUAUUCCAUUGUCAUUUUUAAGUGAACUCGUCAAAGCUAAGGGCUCUGACUCAUGAAUGUUCACUUUCUUCCUGGAUUAAGUAGGCAGUCACAGUAAAAAAUGUCUGAUGACUCAAAGUUUCUAUGAGUGUAUUCAAGAUUUUUUCUCUUUUGAAAAAUCACUCUGAGUACAAGCGGAAGAAAUAAUGAUGUGCUAUGUGUCCUUCCUGACAUCCCUACGUAAACGGUACACUCUUCAGGACUUUUAUUCUUUCAGAAAUAUUCCAGCUUUUCAAGGUCCUUUGAUCCAUGUUUUAAUUAAAGGAAAAAAUUAUUUCUUUUUAUGCAUGUACUUUAAGAAAGUUUAUACCAAUAAUUCAAAUUAAGCAGAAUAAGUACCAUGAAAAUUAGAGAAAAUCAAAUCAGGCGAAUAAACCUAUUGCAAAUUACCUGGAGGCUUGACUUGUCCUUGGGUCAAGUUGCAUUGUAUUAGAAUAAAUAUAAUCUGCUGAGUGUAAAUGAAAACUCAGGGAAUAGGGCAGCCUUAUACAAAUAUCAACAGAUAUCUUACUCUGCUCACUACAGUCAACAGAUUAAAAAAUAGAUCUUUAUGGCACCAGGAGCUUAAAAUUUGUGAAAUAAAUGUUUAGAAAAUUUCAUUAUCUAACUCCUCGAAGAAAGCCCUUCUGCUGUAUUUCAACUAGAUACUGGACAUCACAGCUUCUGGAGUCUAUAGGAUUUGUCCAUGCCAAAAAUAUUUAUGAUUUACUUUUCCUCUGAAAGGCUAUUGUUGCCAUAUUGUUGCACAAUGGCUUUCUGAGACCAAUCAACUUUCUCUAGGGCCCAGGAAGAGUAAAAUCAAUAGUACACCCCUCAAUCAUUAUCUCAACUGAUUUUUGAUGGUACUUCUUCACUAUACAGCAACCAUUCUAUUCCUGUGGUAACAAGUUUUUAUAUUAACACAUUGAACACAUUAGUUUCUUAUCACAAACCCCUCCAACCCACAAUAAACUAGGAUUUUGAUUUUCACAUAACAGAACACAUUUGCUCAUUAAAGAUGGAGCAAGGGCUCGGGGGAGAGAGAGAGAGAGAGAGUGAGAGAGAGUGAGAGAUUGAGAUUUUUCCCAAAGACAAUUUAGUUCUUUUUCAAAAAGUAAACUACGGACUCCCACUCCUGUCCAUGACAGAAUGAAUCUGACUAGACUUGCUCUCCCAUAGUAAACAAGUAGGAAACCAAACAAAAUAUAUAAAACAAACAAUUGUUUUCAGAGACUGGACAACAGACAGUACAGGUGUGUGAUUCUGAGGUAAGGGAAGCAAAUGAUAUGAUCCCUAAAAUAACCUUGGCUUUCUACCUGGAGACAUUUUCCAGACCACAAUAAGGAAAAGAAAUCCCAAGCAGAGAAUGGUACUAUCUCUGAAUUAGGGAAAUCGUUUCUGAGUUUGGAGAGGCUGAGACUACUAGAAUUUGGGGGCAGAGUAAAAAAGGACAGAGCUACGCAGAGAAAAAGCUCCAUAAAUCUGCACCAGCGUGCCUAUGAGUCUUUGUACAUUUAUAGGGUAAGGCUCUAUAAGGAGGCUAAGCAGAAAAUAAUCACAAUGGAAAGAAUGACUAAUAAGGAGAUAUUCAUUCUAGAAUUCUGAGAGCUAGAAGACAUAUGAGUUUUGACUAAUAGGAAUGGCGAUACUCGAACUCCUGGGGUAUUCAAUGGAAGCUUCAAAAAGAUAUUACCUCAUUUGAUCUUUGUAUACACCUCAUUAGAUACUGACAGCUAUUCAACAAAUAAAGAAAAAGAGGCAUAGAAAAUUUGGAUAACUUACUAAAGUCAUUGAGACAACAGACAGCCAAGGCAUUGGCACAGUCUUUGGACAUGAAAAUCAUGGAGAAGGAAGAGGCUGAUUGUUAUCCAUGAUUAGGCAGUGCAGAUAUAGCUCAAUAUUCCAAAUGGGAUGUUUUGGCCUUGGAGUUAAGUUCCAAGAGCAUUAUAAAAUAAUCACCUGUAUAGGAAGUCCUGACUUAACUCUAUUAACAACUUCGAAAGUCACAUACCUGAAGAUGAUCCUGCAUGUCCAUAGAGCCUAGGUCCCUCAAAAGAUGGUGUUGCAAUGACAGAAAUUGAGACAUCAAGAGAACGUUUAGCAGAAUAAGUUAGUUAAGAUGUAGGUGUGUCGAAAGUUUCAGGUGUCAGUAAACAUCAAAAGAAAAUGUAGCAGUAGCUAGAAAUUUCCAGGCUGAAGAUGAAGGUUAAAGCUAAAGAUAGACUAUUUUUGUCAUCUACAUGGAAGAUGAUGGCUAAAGCUAUAAGAGUGAAUGACAUCAGCAAGGAAGAAAAUACAGGAAUAAGGAAGAAGAGAUGGUGAAAUGGCUACUCGUAAGGAGUGGGAGAAAGAAUAAAUGAGAAGAAAAUGAAGAAUGUGUGGCCAAGAACAUAGGAGAAAAGCCAGGAAGAUCAAUGUCUUAUCAACAGACAGAUUUGAGCAGCAGGCUGGGAGAAGGGUCCACACAAAAAUUCUGAGAUGGAGAUGAUGGCUAAAGUUAGAGUUCACAUUGGAUGACUUUGAACUCAGUAAACUAGGUGAAUUUGCCAGAAGAUAUGAAGCUGUGGGAACUUGGAAGCCCAGGACACUAUGAUAUUGAUUACAGGGAAAUAGUUCAAAAAUAUCACAAGAUUACAAGCA